UACAGAGGUCCCAAGCGUUGUUCGGAUUCACUGGGCGUAAAGGGUGCGUAGGUGGUGGGGUAAGUCUGAUGUGAAAGCUCCGAGCUCAACUCGGAAACGGCAUUAGAAACUACCUUGCUAGAGGGUUGGAGGGGGGACUGGAAUUCUCGGUGUAGCAGUGAAAUGCGUAGAUAUCGAGAGGAACACCAGUGGCGAAGGCGAGUCCCUGGACAACUCCUGACACUGAGGCACGAAAGCUAGGGGAGCAAACAGG
Molecule: ribosomal RNA, 253 nt
Filed under: uncultured bacterium
Lineage: Bacteria
Description: partial 16S ribosomal RNA
Rfam family: Bacterial small subunit ribosomal RNA
Source: RNAcentral